UACGUAGGGGGCAAGCGUUGUCCGGAAUCAUUGGGCGUAAAGCGCGUGUAGGCGGUUUGGUAAGUCCGCUCUGAAAGUCCGGGGCUCAACCCCGGGAGGCGGGUGGAUACUGUCAGACUAGAGUGCGGAAGAGGCGAGUGGAAUUCCCGGUGUAGCGGUGAAAUGCGCAGAUAUCGGGAGGAACACCAAUUGCGAAGGCAGCUCGCUGGGACGUUACUGACGCUGAGACGCGAAAGCGUGGGGAGCAAACAGG
This 253-nucleotide unclassified non-coding RNA is filed under the name uncultured Solirubrobacteraceae bacterium. Its description in RNAcentral is "contains 16S-23S intergenic spacer region". It matches the Rfam family "Bacterial small subunit ribosomal RNA", at positions 524 to 776 of the family's 1533-position model. The record is from RNAcentral. Lineage: Bacteria; Bacillati; Actinomycetota; Thermoleophilia; Solirubrobacterales; Solirubrobacteraceae.